GAUGUUGCUGGACGGGUGCGUCCGCCGCUUCCUGCGCGGUGGAGAGAGCGCGGACCUGCGGUUCUUCGUCCGCCUCCACCG
This 81-nucleotide transfer RNA is filed under the name Planobispora rosea. RNAcentral describes it as "tRNA-Arg". The record is from RNAcentral. Lineage: Bacteria; Bacillati; Actinomycetota; Actinomycetes; Streptosporangiales; Streptosporangiaceae.